UGGGGAAUAUUGCACAAUGGGCGCAAGCCUGAUGCAGCCAUGCCGCGUGUGUGAAGAAGGCCUUCGGGUUGUAAAGCACUUUCAGCGAGGAGGCAGGGUAGUGUGUUAAUAGCACAUUGCAUUGACGUUACUCGCAGAAGAAGCACCGGCUCACUCCGUGCCAGCAGCCGCGGUAAUACGGAGGGUGCAAGCGUUAAUCGGAAUUACUGGGCGUAAAGCGCACGCAGGCGGUUUGUUAAGUCAGAUGUGAAAUCCCCGCGCUUAACGUGGGAACUGCAUUUGAAACUGGCAAGCUAGAGUCUUGUAGAGGGGGGUAGAAUUCCAGGUGUAGCGGUGAAAUGCGUAGAGAUCUGGAGGAAUACCGGUGGCGAAGGCGGCCCCCUGGACAAAGACUGACGCUCAGGUGCGAAAGCGUGGGGAGCAAACA
RNAcentral lists this ribosomal RNA (427 nucleotides) under uncultured bacterium. RNAcentral's name for it is "partial 16S ribosomal RNA". It matches the Rfam family "Bacterial small subunit ribosomal RNA", at positions 355 to 774 of the family's 1533-position model. The record is from RNAcentral.